This 92-nucleotide microRNA precursor is filed under the name Pan paniscus (pygmy chimpanzee). RNAcentral's name for it is "mir-544 microRNA precursor family". It matches the Rfam family "mir-544 microRNA precursor family". Lineage: Eukaryota; Metazoa; Chordata; Mammalia; Primates; Hominidae. RNAcentral also lists the same sequence under 1 other name. The record is from Rfam by way of RNAcentral.
AUCACCUGGGCAUCUUGUUAAAAUGCAGGUUCUAGUUCAGUAAGGUGGAGUCUGAAAUUCUGCAUUUCUAACAAACUUCCAAGUGAUGUUGG